Molecule: ribosomal RNA, 1941 nt
Filed under: Triticum aestivum (bread wheat)
Lineage: Eukaryota; Viridiplantae; Streptophyta; Magnoliopsida; Poales; Poaceae
Description: partial small subunit ribosomal RNA
Source: RNAcentral
CUGCGUAGGCAAGGGAGUAGAGACUUGUGCACAGAGUUUGUUUUUUUCUCAGACUUGUAUCUUCGAAGUGGACCUGAGGGGUGCCGUGACGCGGCGACAGAGGGGCUUCCGGCUUCGAAUCCCUACCUCCCCGCAUGGGAUGAGGCGCUGGUCCGCCGUGGGUCGCGCAGGCGGGGGUGACCGGCGAGGCGGAGCGUCCGCUGCCCCCUGCUCCGGCGCCGACUUCAGCUUAAUAGUUUUUCCUCGACACAGAGUACGUUAAGUUUCCUAAAUGUCCGGUACAGUCUUCUAAGACGAUUUUGCAACGAUCUCGUCCACUGACCGACCCUCCACUUUUUACUCCCACUGUAAGACUUCAACGUGUCCCGUACCUUCCACUUCUCGAAACGCUUUCCCGAACUCAAGAAAGUCGAACAACGACGACAACGCCUCCUUCUUCCCAGAGGAAAGAAAACGAGACAAGAAGCCUAAGUGCAACAGAGCAACAAGUCUUAAGUCAAAAAAUUUACAGGGGACAAGAGUGGCGUAACCUUAAAUUGUUAUAGUAACCGUGUAUGCCUGGUGUCGUUCAGCUACGUGACGAAUGAUGAGGGAUAGAUAGUUUUGUGUUCUGCGAAAAACUAUGUUUCCUUCAUAGUUUUUUGCAGAAUAUAAAACUAUGCCUACCUCAUAAUAGUUUCUCCUCAAUAAGUGAAGGACAGGAUGUCAGGAUUUAGGGGUGACAUUAUAAAUUGUUAUAGUAAACCGUGUAUGUCCGGCGUUGUUCAUUUACGACGAUUGAUAAUAUAUACAAGUCAUACGGUCAUAGAAGUGAAGAAGUGUCACUAUAAUUAACAAACACAACAAUUGACCUGAGGUGUAUUAUCUGUCGUAUCGAUGGGUCGGGAGUGGUUUGGACCGUGGAGGAUUUGACAAUACAAUAGUUGCCUGCUGAGGUUCGAAAGUCUUCUAUAUAAAGGGGAGUAUAUAGGUACCACAGUAUUAGUUUGAUGAAAACAAGUUUGAAACGAUGGAAUACACAACGUAAACCAUAACGUCAAUAUAAAUCGUACUACUCUCCGGCAUAAAGAUGUAAAGAUUUGCUUUUAUGGGGACUUUAACCGGUUCUCUAAAACAUAAAGUGGGUCUUAGGUUGUUUAAAGAACCGUGAAAAAAAAACAAAGUCAUUGUUAGAACCGUUUAAUACAAAUUUUGAAAUUUACCUAUACGAAAAGGUCCAGUGGUGGGUCUAGAAGUAGAACAACCAACCUUAUUACACUUUUAACUACACACCUGAGUGAGUCAGUCAUCCGCGAACUACGGAUAGUCGUCAACCGGUAACAGUACUAUUUUGAAUAAAAGCAAAUCCCUUUAGGUUAGUUGAAUUUACUUGUUCUUGCUCGGUAUGUUAUGCCUCACUUUUAUCACCAAAUUGUCUAUUACUAAAGUAGGAACGACGUUUCUAGUUACUUGAGUUCGAUCCUCCGGAAAACUCGUUCUUUUUUAGAUGACGGGUCCUCAUCGAGAGCACUUAGUUUUCUAUAUAAAAACAUAAAACACUGUUAACGUAUACGGUGAGGUUUUCGUCCUAAGCAGGUCAUAUAUAAGACCCUAUUUACUACCAAACCGCUACGAUAACCAAGAAGUACUCUUCAAGUUCCUCCUAAACUAUAAUAAAAUAACAAUUACUCAGUACGGUCAUUCGAAAGACAUAAACAAGCGGCACUCCUCGUUACCCCGUAACGUGUGAAUGGAUACAUAUGACGAUGGACUAAUAGCAACCAGAAAACAUAUUUCCGGAACGAUAGUAAUACAUACCAGGAAGAAGGGAUUACACAUAAUACUUACCAGAAAACUGGACACCUUACAUAAGGAUUAGGACUAGAUAUCUUGACGGAAAGACUUGAACUAUAGAGUCAACAUGAUCUGUUACGAAUAAACCGGUUUACGAGUACCCAAGUC